This 498-nucleotide ribosomal RNA is filed under the name uncultured bacterium. RNAcentral's name for it is "partial 16S ribosomal RNA". It matches the Rfam family "Bacterial small subunit ribosomal RNA", at positions 28 to 507 of the family's 1533-position model. The record is from RNAcentral.
GACGAACGCUGGCGGCGUGCCUAAUACAUGCAAGUCGAGCGGACGGAUGGGAGCUUGCUCCCAGACCGUCAGCGGCGGACGGGUGAGUAACACGUGGGCAACCUGCCUGUAAGACUGGGAUAACUCCGGGAAACCGGGGCUAAUACCGGAUAACUCUUUCCCUCACAUGAGGGAAAGCUGAAAGAUGGCAUCUCGCUAUCACUUACAGAUGGGCCCGCGGGGCAUUAGCUAGUUGGUGAGGUAACGGCUCACCAAGGCGACGAUGCGUAGCCGACCUGAGAGGGUGAUCGGCCAGGCUGGGGCUGAGACACGGCCCAGACUCCUACGGGAGGCAGCAGUAGGGAAUCUUCCGCAAUGGACGAAAGUCUGACGGAGCAACGCCGCGUGAGUGAUGAAGGUUUUCGGAUCGUAAAACUCUGUUGUCAGGGAAGAACAAGUACCGGAGUAACUGCCGGUACCUUGACGGUACCUGAACAGAAAGCCACGGCUAACUACGUG